RNAcentral lists this ribosomal RNA (460 nucleotides) under uncultured bacterium. RNAcentral's name for it is "partial 16S ribosomal RNA". It matches the Rfam family "Bacterial small subunit ribosomal RNA", at positions 338 to 795 of the family's 1533-position model. The record is from RNAcentral.
CCUACGGGAGGCAGCAGUGAGGAAUAUUGGUCAAUGGACGGAAGUCUGAACCAGCCAAGUCGCGUGCAGGAAGACGGCUCUAUGAGUUGUAAACUGCUUUUGUACAAGGGUAAACCUGAAUACGUGUAUUCAGCUGAAAGUACUGUACGAAUAAGGAUCGGCUAACUCCGUGCCAGAAGCCGCGGUAAUACGGAGGAUCAAAGCGUUAUCCGGAUUUAUUGGGUUUAAAGGGUGCGUAGGCGGAUUGAUUAGUUAGAGGUGAAAUUUUCGGGCUUAACUCGGGAACGGCCUCUAAUACUGUUGAUCUAGAGAGUAGGUGCGGUAGGCGGAAUGCGUGGUGUAGCGGUGAAAUGCUUAGAGAUCAUGCAGAACACCGAUUGCGAAGGCAGCUUACCAAUCUAUAUCUGACGUUGAGGCACGAAAGCGUGGGGAGCAAACAGGAUUAGAUACCCGGGUAGUC